AUUGAACGCUGGCGGCAGGCCUAACACAUGCAAGUCGAGCGGAGCGGCGGACGGGUGAGUAAUGCUUAGGAAUCUGCCUGGGAGUGGGGGAUAAGGUCCGGAAACGGGCGCUAAUACCGCAUACUAUCAGAUGAGCCUAGGUCGGAUUAGCUAGUUGGUGGGGUAAAGGCCUACAAAGGCGACGAUCCGUAACUGGUCUGGGAGGAUGAUCAGCCACACGGGAACGGAGACACGGUCCAGACUCCGACGGGAGGCAGCAGUGGGGAAUAUGGGACAAUGGGCGAAAGCCUGAUGCAGCCAUGCCGCGUGUGUGAAGAAGGUCUUCGGAUUGUAAAGCACUUUCAGUUGGGAGGCGUUACCAGCAGAAGAAGCACCGGCUAACUUCGUGCCAGCAGCCGCGGUAAUAC
RNAcentral lists this ribosomal RNA (407 nucleotides) under uncultured bacterium. RNAcentral's name for it is "partial 16S ribosomal RNA". It matches the Rfam family "Bacterial small subunit ribosomal RNA", at positions 29 to 526 of the family's 1533-position model. The record is from RNAcentral.